Molecule: ribosomal RNA, 490 nt
Filed under: uncultured bacterium
Lineage: Bacteria
Description: bacterial SSU rRNA
Rfam family: Bacterial small subunit ribosomal RNA
Source: RNAcentral
GAUGAACGCUAGCGGCAGGCCUAACACAUGCAAGUCGAGGGGUAUUAGGAGCUUGCUCCUAAGAGACCGGCGCACGGGUGCGUAACGCGUAUGCAAUCUACCUUGUACAGGGGAAUAGCCCAGAGAAAUUUGGAUUAAUGCCCCAUAGUAUAAUUGAAUCGCAUGGUUUAAUUAUUAAAGUUCCAACGGUACAAGAUGAGCAUGCGUCCCAUUAGUUAGUUGGUAAGGUAACGGCUUACCAAGACAAUGAUGGGUAGGGUCCUGAGAGGGAGAUCCCCCACACUGGUACUGAGACACGGACCAGACUCCUACGGGAGGCAGCAGUGAGGAAUAUUGGUCAAUGGGCGCAAGCCUGAACCAGCCAUGCCGCGUGCAGGAAGACGGUCCUAUGGAUUGUAAACUGCUUUUGUACGGAACGAAAAGGUCUGGGGUUAAUACCCUGGGCUCAUGACGGUACCGUAAGAAUAAGCACCGGCUAACUACGUGCCAG